GUACGCAAAUAACGAGAUAAACCCAUGUAAUGUCCGGAACCUCAACCAUGAAAAUCAUCAAAAAAACCAACUGUGUCUCCCAGUCAUAAACAAUCUUGAAUAAUUUGGCACAGACGAUAAUGGAAUUACAAUCUUCUACUGAAAAAGCAAGAUGUAACAACAGCAAACCUAAUGUAGCCAACAAUUGUUUUGAGCCAAAUGCCUCCAACACAUCAUUAAGCAUGCAGCAAACACUGAAGCUUAAGAACACUAGUUUU
This 257-nucleotide unclassified non-coding RNA is filed under the name Hevea brasiliensis (rubber tree). Lineage: Eukaryota; Viridiplantae; Streptophyta; Magnoliopsida; Malpighiales; Euphorbiaceae. The record is from RNAcentral.